Non-coding RNA from Schistosoma curassoni, 46 nucleotides. The record is from Rfam. NCBI's taxonomy places the organism in Eukaryota, Metazoa, Platyhelminthes, Trematoda, Strigeidida, Schistosomatidae.
GCACUGCUGAGGAGUCCCACAAUAGGAUGAAACGGUCGUUCAGUGC